GCUUGUCUCAAAGAUUAAGCCAUGCAUGUCUAAGUACAAGCCUCAGUAAGGUGAAACCGCGAAUGGCUCAUUAAAUCACACCUAAUCUACUGGAAAGUUACUAGUUACUUGGAUAACUGAGGUAAUUCUUGAGCUAAUACAUGCGAAAAAUCUCGACUCACGGAGAGAUGCUUUUAUUAGAUCAAAACCAAACGGCUUCGGCCGUCUCAUUGGUGAUUCAUAAUAACUUAUCGGAGCUCAUGGCCUUGUGCCGGAGCCAGGUCAUUCAAAUUUCUGCCCUAUCAGCUUUCGAUGGUAGUGUAGUGGACUACCAUGGCUUUAACGGGUGACGGAGAAUUAGGGUUCGAUUCCGGAGAGGGAGCCUGAGAAACGGCUACCACAUCCAAGGAAGGCAGCAGG
This 399-nucleotide ribosomal RNA is filed under the name Crustacea environmental sample. Its description in RNAcentral is "partial small subunit ribosomal RNA". It matches the Rfam family "Eukaryotic small subunit ribosomal RNA", at positions 30 to 432 of the family's 1831-position model. Lineage: Eukaryota; Metazoa; Arthropoda. The record is from RNAcentral.